ACUCAAAGGAAUAGACGGGGGCCCGCACAAGCGGUGGAGCAUGUGGUUUAAUUCGAUGCUACGCGAAAAACCUUACCCGGACUUGAAAUCCCGUGCUACCCAGGGAAACUUGGGGUUCUCUUCGGAGACGCGGUGACAGGUGCUGCAUGGCUGUCGUCAGCUCGUGUUGUGAGAUGUUGGGUUAAGUCCCGCAACGAGCGCAACCCUCGUCUUUAGUUGCCAUCAUUAAGUUGGGCACUCUAAAGAGACCGCUGGCCUAUAAGGCAGAGGAAGGUGGGGAUGACGUCAAGUCCUCAUGGCCCUUAUGUCCGGGGCUACACACGUGCUACAAUGGGAGGUACAAAUCGUCGCCAACUCGCAAGAGUGAGCUAAUCGCAAAAAACCUCCCUCAGUUCGGAUUGAAGUCUGCAACUCGACUUCAUGAAGCUGGAAUCGCUAGUAAUCGCGGAUCAGCACGCCGCGGUGAAUACGUUCCCGGGCCUUGUACACACCGCCCGU
Molecule: ribosomal RNA, 498 nt
Filed under: uncultured bacterium
Lineage: Bacteria
Description: partial 16S ribosomal RNA
Rfam family: Bacterial small subunit ribosomal RNA
Source: RNAcentral